CCCACCACUCCUGCAGCCCACCCCACAACCACCUUCGCUAUCUGCAAGGCUGACUUCCAAACUCUGCCUUUCAUAUUAGAAAUGAUUAAUCCCCAUUCUCGCCCAGAACAAAAGGACCUACAGCUGGCCUUGCGCUCAGCGAGGAACACCAAGAAAAAAGCCUGAAGAAAUGAAGCUAUUGCAGCCCCCUCUCCGCCAGACUGUGGGUUUGUCUGUGUGCUCGUAUCUGUCUGUCCCCUCCAUAACAGCACCCAACUGCGUUGGCCGACUUCAACCACACUGGAUGGAAAGCAGAGGCCAAAAAGCCUUUUCUUGGGAUCCCUCUGAGAGCAAGACUUGCUAGCCAGUCAAGCAAAGAGGCAGACCCAUAAAUAAUCACACUGAGGCCAGACAAAUUCAACUUGGAAACAAAGUCUGCAUUUUUAAUGGCACGUCUGUUAAAGGAGAAAAGCUUCCAUCAUAUUUUCUGUGUCUUCUUAGGCACACAAGUCAGUUAGCCUCAAGACACAAAUCCAGAGGAAAUCUGGCUCCUUUCGAUCCAGAACUACCUGUUUCAUAGGUUUUAAAAUUCACAGUGGGCUGUAAGAUCAUCUAUUCUGAGCUCCAUAUAAUAUGGACCAUAAAAUUGCAUACUCCAAUAAGGAACCCAAUAACUUGUGCUUGGCUGAAACCUCAGUUCCAGCAGGCAUCUGCUCACAAUUUGAAAAUAUCUGAAGAGGAAGAAUCUACUACUUUCAUUGGACAGCUGCUUGUGCAAGCUAGGAAUUAACUCAGACAGCCCAACUGGAUCAAAAAUAGCCCAGGCUCAAAUAACACAGAGGUUUCAAGAUCCCAAGAUGUCCUGAGAAGAUGCUCAGCUGCUGAGACGUUCCAAACAUUUGCAUUCCAAUGCAAGUUUGUCUGAUGGAGCAAGGAGAAGCAAUGCUCCAUCCCACCUCCUGCACUUCUGUGCCCUGGCCACUAAUCCCAAGGGUUUCUGUAGCAUCCCGUGGUGAGUUUUAGGGUCUGGCUUUGGGACAGUCUGCAUACAGGACUUGGCACCGCUCUCUCCUUCAGCAUUCAUCCCAGUUUGCAGCAUCUGUAAGCAAGAAGAGUCCUUAUUUUGUUCCCAAAGCCCACUCUUCCCUGCCCUGGGGGUUGCAUGGACACACACAAGGACUUCAUAGGAUCACAGAAUGGCUUGGAUUGGAACGGACCCCAAAGAUCAUCUAGUUCCAACCCCCUGCCAUUGACAGGGAUGACAACCAUUAAGUCAAUCACUAGGUCAGGCUGCCCAGGGCCCCAUCCCACCUGGCCUUGAACACCUACAGGGAUGGGGCACCCACAGCUUCUCUGGACUUCAGAGGGAUAAGGCAACACCAGCAUUGCAAGGCCUCUGGGGUCUGCAGUGGGACUGCAAACAGGUUUUGGUGAGGAGAAGCCUUUCCAGGACACCAGUUGUGCUUCCUGGCGUCUGCAGUGAAAACAGCCAAGACAAAAGAAGUGCUGAUAUUAUUAGAAUGAAUGAAAAUGCUGAUAAAAUGCUUCAGAGCAAAUAAAAAAGAAGGCUUUCUGAGCAAGAGCCCAGCCUUGGAAGGAACAGCCUGAUCACUA
RNAcentral lists this long non-coding RNA (1593 nucleotides) under Gallus gallus (chicken). Its description in RNAcentral is "lncRNA (ENSGALG00010003620.1)". The record is from RNAcentral. Lineage: Eukaryota; Metazoa; Chordata; Aves; Galliformes; Phasianidae.